ACGCGUGAGGAACCUGCCCUCAAAGAGGGGGAACAACGAGUUGGAAACGACUAGCUAAUACCGCAUAAGCCCACGGCCUCGGGCAUCGAGCAGAGGGAAAAGGAGCAAUCCGCUUUGAGAUGGCCUCGCGUCCGAUUAGCUAGUUGGUGAGGUAAUGGCCCACCAAGGCGACGAUCGGUAGCCGGACUGAGAGGUUGAACGGCCACAUUGGGACUGAGACACGGCCCAGACUCCUACGGGAGGCAGCAUG
Molecule: ribosomal RNA, 250 nt
Filed under: uncultured bacterium
Lineage: Bacteria
Description: partial 16S ribosomal RNA
Rfam family: Bacterial small subunit ribosomal RNA
Source: RNAcentral